This 499-nucleotide ribosomal RNA is filed under the name uncultured bacterium. RNAcentral describes it as "partial 16S ribosomal RNA". It matches the Rfam family "Bacterial small subunit ribosomal RNA", at positions 28 to 507 of the family's 1533-position model. The record is from RNAcentral.
GACGAACGCUGGCGGCGUGCCUAAUACAUGCAAGUCGAGCGAAGUUUUUCUGGUGCUUGCACUAGAAAAACUUAGCGGCGAACGGGUGAGUAACACGUAAAGAACCUGCCUCAUAGACUGGGACAACUAUUGGAAACGAUAGCUAAUACCGGAUAACAGUAUUUCUCGCAUGAGAGAUAUUUAAAAGUUGGUUCUGCUAACACUAUGAGAUGGCUUUGCGGUGCAUUAGCUAGUUGGUGGGGUAAAGGCCCACCAAGGCGACGAUGCAUAGCCGACCGGAGAGGAUGAUCGGCCACACUGGAACUGAGACACGGCCCAGACUCCUACGGGAGGCAGCAGUAGGGAAUCUUCCGCAAUGGGCGAAAGCCUGACGGAGCAACGCCGCGUGAGUGAAGAAGGAUUUCGGUUCGUAAAGCUCUGUUGUUAGGGAAGAAUGGAUAUGUAGUAACUAUACAUGUAAGAGACGGUACCUAACCAGAAAGCCACGGCUAACUACGUG